This 468-nucleotide ribosomal RNA is filed under the name uncultured bacterium. RNAcentral describes it as "partial 16S ribosomal RNA". It matches the Rfam family "Bacterial small subunit ribosomal RNA", at positions 28 to 507 of the family's 1533-position model. The record is from RNAcentral.
GACGAACGCUGGCGGCGUGCUUAACACAUGCAAGUCGAACGGAAAGGCCCUGCUUUUGUGGGGUGCUCGAGUGGCGAACGGGUGAGUAACACGUGAGUAACCUGCCCUUGACUUUGGGAUAACUUCAGGAAACUGGGGCUAAUACCGGAUAGGAGCUCCUGCUGCAUGGUGGGGGUUGGAAAGUUUCGGCGGUUGGGGAUGGACUCGCGGCUUAUCAGCUUGUUGGUGGGGUAGUGGCUUACCAAGGCUUUGACGGGUAGCCGGCCUGAGAGGGUGACCGGCAACAUGGGGACUGAGAUACGGACCGGAAUAAUACGGGCGGGAGAAGUGGGGAAGAGGGCAGCAUGGGCGGAAGCCUGAUGCAGCAACGCCGAGUGAGGGAUGACGGCCUUCGGGUUGGAAAACGAUUUCGCCUGUGAAGAAGCGGGAGUGAGGGUAAUGGGUAAAGAAGCACCGGCUAACUACGUG